This 675-nucleotide long non-coding RNA is filed under the name Homo sapiens (human). RNAcentral's name for it is "HSALNT0397055". Lineage: Eukaryota; Metazoa; Chordata; Mammalia; Primates; Hominidae. The record is from RNAcentral.
GCUACUAGAGGACGCCCGUUCCAAUGGCAACUCUGCCAAGGCGCCUAUGAGAGCCUCUUGGCUUUUACCUGGUCUGCGAGAAAUCAAACUUUGGGCACAAGUCAUGAAGCCGACAAGCCCGGGAGACACAGUGUCAGAAUUACAAGGAACACUACAAGGCCUGUUAGAGAAGAAAGGGUAGAAUCCCGAGAAUGUUUUCCCCACAGUGCUGAUAAGGAGAGACCACUAUCCCAUCUACUGCUACAGCUCUGGAGACAGAGCUCUCCCACCUGUCAUAUAGAACACAAGGACCAAUCUGCAGAGAAAGAGCAUCCAAACCUGAUCCAGUGGACACUGGGGAAAAACUCACCACAGCUGAGUGUGGAAAAACAAGGCCAACACACACAUCUCUGCACAGAUACAUCUCCCAUAAAGAAACUAAAGUGUUAAUUUACAGGGCACUGUUGCAGACCCACUUCAGCUGGAAGCUAGGAACAUGGACAAGGAGCCUCUCUACCACCAAGGGAGAGAGAGGAAUGUGCUCUUGUCCUGGCAUUGCAUCCACAGGAGGGGCAGGAAAUUCUUUGAAGGUCAGUAACCCCAUACCCCAAUUAACAGUGCUUAAGUGUGAGGCUCCCUCAGAACAUCAGAGAUAUCCUCACUCCCUCACCCCUGCCACCAGGCUAAGAAGCAUGG